UUUUAAUUACAAAUUAUGUCUCCUCACUCAUGCUACCUACUCUAGAUGCUAGAACAUCUCUCUCCUUUUCAUAACUUCUCAAUCAAGUGCCAAAGUGUAUUUUUCCCAUAGAUCAAUUAUUCUCUUCAAGAUUUCAGUUUAAUGACCCAAGUGGUUAAGAAUUGGGAGAAACCUCAAAACCAAAAUAAAACCCCAAACAAUAAUUUUCUCUCUCCUGUGAUUUUAUACCCCGUACUGUGCAUGCUCAAUUUCUGCAUUUUGGAGUUGGAAUUUGACCAAACUUAUUGAAUCAAAGUUGUAGAUCUCAAAAAGUUAUUGAACUUAGACCCAAAAAUCACUUGAUUUGGAGUUCGGAGCUAUGAGUUAUGGUCUUUGCAAAUUUGGUGUUGCUACCUCCAUUUCUCUCUCCUCUGUUUUAUUCCGACAAUCUGUUGCCCCAAUUAUCUACAACAUGCAAUCCAAUUUUGCUCUUUGUUUCUGAAUUAAAGUUGUAGAUCACCUCGAGCUAAUGAAUUUGGGCACAAAAAUCAUUUGAUUUGGAGUUCGGAGCUAUGAGUUAUGGUCUUUGUAAGUCUGGUGUUCCUAUCUUCUUUUCUCUCUCCUCUCUUUUUAUUCCGACAAUCUGUUUCCUCAACUAUCUAUAACAUGCAAUCCAAUCUUGCUCUUUGUUUCUGAAUCAAAGUUGUAGAUCACCUCGAGCUAAUGAAUUUGGGCACAAAAAUCGCUCAAUUCAGAGUUCGGAACUAGGAGUUACGCCUCACACAAGUUCAGCACUGCUGCUGUACCUUGUGUUGCGCUGCUGUCGUGAUUGGCUUGUUUGCCCAUGUUGUCAUUGCUAACUUGUUGCCUUGUUGCUGCCACUGUUGGUAUUCCUUUCCAUAUGAAGGUCGUUGUUGGAGUAUGUAUAUGGAGAUAAAUUAUGGAGUUCAAGCUAUAGUGGUCAUCCAGAAUGUCGAGUUAUUGGGAAUUGUUUCAAGGUCGUUGUUGGAGUAUGUAUAUGGAGAUAAAUUAUGGAGUUCAAGCUAUAGUGGUCAUCCAGAAUGUCGAGUUAUUGGGAAUUGUUUCAAGGGUUCAUUGUUAGUGAUUUGCAGGGUUGAUGUCGAGGUCGUGGAAUAUGAUUAUUGAUCAAGAAGAAGAGUUUUAUGUUAUGAAAUGGUGGGCUGAGGUUAAAGUUAGAUGUUUUGUUUCAAAGUAUUCGUAAUCUGUUAUUUGAUUUUCAAGUUGUUAUAUUGUGGGCCCCUGACCCACAGAUCCAGGAUCGUUUUUAUAGGUUUUGUUUCCACUGUAAAUAAAUGCAAAUUCAAGAUUUAUUAAGUGUUGAUUGUGUUUUGUGUAUCUUAAGUGUGAUUAGUUAGCAGCUCGGAAGUGCGGGCUGUUACAGGUGUGAAUAAAUGUAAAUUCGAGGUUUGUUAAGUGUUGAUUGUGUUUUGUGUA
Beta vulgaris subsp. vulgaris (sugar beet) is the source of this 1434-nucleotide long non-coding RNA. RefSeq lists it as uncharacterized. Lineage: Eukaryota; Viridiplantae; Streptophyta; Magnoliopsida; Caryophyllales; Amaranthaceae. The transcript is spliced from 4 exons. The record is from RefSeq and is a predicted model, not a curated record.